Molecule: long non-coding RNA, 223 nt
Organism: Telopea speciosissima
Lineage: Eukaryota; Viridiplantae; Streptophyta; Magnoliopsida; Proteales; Proteaceae
Exons: 2
Source: RefSeq, a predicted model, not a curated record
AUGUCCAAUCUAUGUCUAGGGAUCUGUUAUUGCAGAAUUUAAUAUGAAUUGCAUUGUUCUGUAUUAAGCUGUAGGCCAUUGGGCAAUAAUGUUGGUUGCCAUCAACCAUGUUGAAUUCCAUUCGUUAUUUUCCUCUAUCAGUGAGUGGACAAUGUUGUUAAUCUGGUUGUAUAUAUAUCCAAUUUUUUGCAAAAUAAUGAACAUAUGUAAUUUUUCAUCCGGA